Molecule: ribosomal RNA, 252 nt
Filed under: uncultured bacterium
Lineage: Bacteria
Description: partial 16S ribosomal RNA
Rfam family: Bacterial small subunit ribosomal RNA
Source: RNAcentral
UACGUAGGGUGCGAGCGUUGUCCGGAAUUAUUGGGCGUAAAGAGCUUGUAGGUGGCUCGUUGCGUCGGGAGUGAAAACCUGCGGCUUAACCGCAGGCCUGCUUCCGAUACGGGCGAGCUAGAGUUCGGCAGGGGAGACUGGAAUUCCGUGGUGUAGCGGUGGAAUGCGCAGCAUAUCAGGAGGAACGACCGGUGGCGAAGGCGGGUCUCUGGGCCGAUACUGACACUGAGAAGCGAAAGCGUGGGAGCGAAC